AACGAACGCUGGCGGCAUGCCUAACACAUGCAAGUCGAACGAGACCUUCGGGUCUAGUGGCGCACGGGUGCGUAACGCGUGGGAACCUGCCCUUAGGUUCGGAAUAACUCCCCGAAAGGGGUGCUAAUACCGGAUAAAGUCUUCGGACCAAAGAUUUAUCGCCUUUGGAUGGGCCCGCGUUGGAUUAGCUAGUUGGUAGGGUAAAAGCCUACCAAGGCGACGAUCCAUAGCUGGUCUGAGAGGAUGAUCAGCCACACUGGGACUGAGACACGGCCCAGACUCCUACGGGAGGAAGCAGUGGGGAAUAUUGGACAAUGGGCGAAAGACUGAUCCAGCAAUGCCGCGUGAGUGAUGAAGGCCUUAGGGUUGUAAAGCUCUUUUACCCGGGAUGAUAAUGACAGUACCGGGAGAAUAAGCUCCGGCUAACUCCGUG
This 433-nucleotide ribosomal RNA is filed under the name uncultured bacterium. Its description in RNAcentral is "partial 16S ribosomal RNA". It matches the Rfam family "Bacterial small subunit ribosomal RNA", at positions 29 to 507 of the family's 1533-position model. The record is from RNAcentral.